Molecule: ribosomal RNA, 484 nt
Filed under: uncultured bacterium
Lineage: Bacteria
Description: partial 16S ribosomal RNA
Rfam family: Bacterial small subunit ribosomal RNA
Source: RNAcentral
AUUGAACGCUGGCGGCAGGCCUAACACAUGCAAGUCGAGCGGAUGAAGGGAGCUUGCUCCUGGAUUCAGCGGCGGACGGGUGAGUAAUGCCUAGGAAUCUGCUUGGUAGUGGGGGAUAACGUCCGGAAACGGGCGCUAAUACCGCAUACGUCCUGAGGGAGAAAGUGGGGGAUCUUCGGACCUCACGCUAUCAGAUGAGCCUAGGUCGGAUUAGCUAGUUGGUGGGGUAAAGGCCUACCAAGGCGACGAUCCGUAACUGGUCUGAGAGGAUGAUCAGUCACACUAGAACUGAGACACGGUCCAGACUCCUACGGGAGGCAGCAGUGGGGAAUAUUGGACAAUGGGCGAAAGCCUGAUCCAGCCAUGCCGCGUGUGUGAAGAAGGUCUUCGGAUUGUAAAGCACUUUAAGUUGGGAGGAAGGGCAGUAAGUUAAUACCUUGCUGUUUUGACGUUACCAACAGAAUAAGCACCGGCUAACUUCGUG